RNAcentral lists this ribosomal RNA (468 nucleotides) under uncultured bacterium. RNAcentral describes it as "partial 16S ribosomal RNA". It matches the Rfam family "Bacterial small subunit ribosomal RNA", at positions 28 to 507 of the family's 1533-position model. The record is from RNAcentral.
GACGAACGCUGGCGGCGUGCUUAACACAUGCAAGUCGAACGGAAAGGCCCUGCUUUUGUGGGGUGCUCGAGUGGCGAACGGGUGAGUAACACGUGAGUAACCUGCCCUUGACUUUGGGAUAACUUCAGGAAACUGGGGCUAAUAUCGGAUAGGAGCUCCUGCUGCAUGGUGGGGGUUGGAAAGUUUCGGCGGUUGGGGAUGGACUCGCGGCUUAUCAGCUUGUUGGUGGGGUAGUGGCUUACCAAGGCUUUGACGGGUAGCCGGCCUGAGAGGGUGACAGGCCACAUUGGGACUGAGAUACGGCCCAGACUCCUACGGGAGGCAGCAGUGGAGAGUAUUGCACAGUGGGCGGGAGCCUGAUGCAGCAACGCCGCGUGCGGGAUGACGGCCUUCGGGUUGUAAACCGCUUUCGCCUGUGACGAGGCGUGAGUGACGGUAAUGGGUAAAGAAGCACCGGCUAACUACGUG